AGAAUGUAGAGAUUGAGAAGAGCAAGGAAGGGCAGAGCUAAGGAACUUCGUCAGGGCUAGAAGAACCAGAAGACUGUUUUGUUGUGGAUGGCAAGAAAAUUGACAUUUAUAAGAUGAUAGAGAAUGGUCAAUGGCAGCAAAUGUCACAAGGGAUCUAAGGA
Long non-coding RNA from Pipistrellus kuhlii (Kuhl's pipistrelle), 161 nucleotides. RefSeq lists it as uncharacterized. The record is from RefSeq and is a predicted model, not a curated record. The transcript has 2 exons. NCBI's taxonomy places the organism in Eukaryota, Metazoa, Chordata, Mammalia, Chiroptera, Vespertilionidae.